AUAUGUCCCGAAUACCAUUGACACCGCCCACUAGAAUUCGAUUAUGUACUUUCCAAAGCAGUUUCAGCCCUGCAUUCUCAUCUGAUCUUUGUGACUGGUCACCCAGAGAGCUGACCACAGAGGCAGCGCCCAGCCUCUCCAUGGCUCCUCCCACUUCCUGAGACCCAGGGGCAUCCUCCUAGCUUGCCUGCCCGCCCUCCUCUGCCCCAGCUGGCUGAUCCCCUGCCCUCCCUGCUGCAGAGAUUUCUCUCUCCCUCUACCCAGUGACUCCUGCUCCUCCUUCCCAGCCCUGCCAGACACCCACACCCACCACGAGACGAAGGCAAGGACCCUGGUGAUAGGCUGUCCCAGCUCCUAGAACUUUCCCUGGGCAGAGGCACUCGGGCAUUUAUCCAGUGGACACUCAAACACUAAUUAAAAGAGAUAUAUGCUGCAUUGUUCACAAUAGCCACAGAGUGGAAGCAGCCUAGAUGCCCAUCAACAGAUGACUGGCUAAAGAAGUUACGGGAUAUAUACUUCAUGGAAUACUACUCUGCGAUCAAAAAAGAUGGCACUGUGUCUUUGGGACAAAAUGGAUAGAACUGGAGAGCUGCUGGCUCCUGAGAGAUGACCUUUCACCUCCCCAUCCUCAGCCCCAGUGCUGCAUCCACUGUCACAGAGCUUCAGGAAUGACGUGGACCUCUGUCCAGAGGGACUUCAUGAAAAGUUGGUCGCUUUAGUGCUGCAGGGGCUCUGUGAGGUGUGUGUGUGUGUGUGUGUGUGUGUGUGUGUGUGUGUGUGUGGUGUUUGCAUUUGUGUUUGUGUUGGAGAGUCCCUACCUCACUUCUCUGGCCCUAGGUAUUGAAUCUCCAGAGCCAUUUGUAGUUCAGGAAGUUUUGGUCUCUCUUGGGGAGUGCAGGAGGGAUUGGGGAAGCCAGGCCAGCAAGUGAGGCACCUCUGUACACAGGUCUUAGCAGCCUGGCACCUUCUAUGGGUUGGUGAGGCCUUAGCUCCCUCCCUGACGCUGGUGGUUGCUGCCUCAGUGUCUCAGGAAGAGAUUAAGGAAAAAGUUCUCAGAAGAAACUGCUCUGGAGGCCAAGCCUGAUGCUUUCUCCUUAUGUUCUGCAAGUGUUGAUGUUCAGACUGGAAUGUGCUCAGAGCUCACUCAGUCCAAACAUGACACUCAAAAGAGGGCUGGCUGGCAUCUGACAGGGGACAUCAGAGCACCUGGGCUUCUGGGCCCCCAGCCAGAACUCUGAAUCCCCAAAACCACAUCUGUGAAGCCUCUCUGAGAAUUAGGCCAUGAAAACAAUGCAGGUCCUAUUAGAGGUGUGGCUGCCACUUCCAGGGGUCAGGGCUAGAUACAUUUGUCAUCUGGCCUCCAUCUUCCCCAGGGUGUUAGAACUGCAACUGAGUGUCCCCACUGCCAAGCUAAGGGACCAACCAUCCAACUGCUUUCCCCAGGAAUCUGAAUUUUGGAGAGCGAGGCAGAGAGUGCUAGUCAUCUCCAAGAGACAACUGCUUGACCCAACUGUGUAAGCACUAAAUUUGAUCUUAUGAGUCCUGCUCCAAAGAGUCUCACCUUGGCUGGUGGGCACACCCAAGCCUGGCUCAGUCUCCUAGUCACUUCAGUCUCUGUUAUUGUAACUGAGAAGAAGAGAUUCCAAGUUGAUUUUAACUUAGACCACCUAGCAUGAGCUGUGGCCUUCACUCUGGCCCUUCCUGGCUAACUCUACUUGGCUGUAGUAACCCUCUCCGUGACCUUCACUUCAGGCUUUACCCAUGGUGCUCCUACUACCUAGCUGUAGCCACUCAGAAAGAAAAGUUUUCACUCACUGUACAUGUGUGUCUGAUAAAAAAAGGAGUCAGUCACAGAUGGU
Molecule: long non-coding RNA, 1859 nt
Organism: Erinaceus europaeus (western European hedgehog)
Lineage: Eukaryota; Metazoa; Chordata; Mammalia; Eulipotyphla; Erinaceidae
Exons: 3
Source: RefSeq, a predicted model, not a curated record